This 711-nucleotide long non-coding RNA is filed under the name Monodelphis domestica (gray short-tailed opossum). RNAcentral's name for it is "lncRNA (ENSMODG00000041598.1)". The record is from RNAcentral. Lineage: Eukaryota; Metazoa; Chordata; Mammalia; Didelphimorphia; Didelphidae.
GAAUUUGUUUUGAAGCUCUGCGUAUGCAAUUGUUUGAAGCCUCUUUGUGAAUUAAAGGCUUUCACAAAAGAGGUCAAAAGGCCAGUGAUGCUAAAAGCAAUAGACCAUCGUGGGCACAUUUUACCACACCGGAGGGAAAACAAAAGAGCAUAACUGAAGACAUCCUGGGAAGAGGGAGCAGCAACAAGCCAAAGGACUGAUUCGAGGCCAAGACUCUAUCCAGGUUUUAAUCACCAGAGAGACAAGACAGAGCUAUAAACUGACAUCAGCCAUUGGAAAAGGAGUGGGAGGUGGCGAAGUAAUUCCACCCCGGGCUUCAACAGAGGAUAGUGUUUCUAUGUGGUGGUUUGCCUGAUAAAGGUCAAGAUGAGCUGAGACCAUCGAGCCUAUUUCGGGGAAGAUAUUAGAUUUCACUGGGGCCAGCCUCUGAAAAGUGAGUUAUUAGUGUUUUGUUUACUAUGCCCUCUGGCUCCCUCCUUAAUUAGGUGGAACUGAUAAGCUUGAUAAAUUCUGAACUAUUGCUUUCUGUUUGCCAAUAACAAAAAGAUUACUGGGCUUGGGAUGUUAGUUAUUUUUAUGGGAACCAUUAAACUUCUCUUUUCCUGAAGAUGUAGUUUUCCUUCCAAUAGACUGGAAAAGAAAGACCUUUUUUACUUGGGUUCCAAUUCUGUCUCCAUCACUUAUACCUUUGUGACCUUGAACAAGUCUCCC